RNAcentral lists this transfer RNA (84 nucleotides) under pig gut metagenome. It matches the Rfam family "tRNA". From Rfam's summary of the family: Transfer RNA (tRNA) molecules are approximately 80 nucleotides in length. The record is from RNAcentral.
GAGAGGUGUCCGAGUGGUCGAAGGUGCCUGACUCGAAAUCAGGUGAGGUGAUGAGCCUCCGAGGGUUCGAAUCCCUCUCUCUCC